GUGGGUAUAGCUCAGUUGGUUAGAGCACCAGAUUGUGAUUCUGGGGGUCGUGGGUUCGAGCCCCAUUACUCACCCCA
This 77-nucleotide transfer RNA is filed under the name Cytophagales bacterium. RNAcentral's name for it is "tRNA-His". It matches the Rfam family "tRNA". From Rfam's summary of the family: Transfer RNA (tRNA) molecules are approximately 80 nucleotides in length. Their secondary structure includes four short double-helical elements and three loops (D, anti-codon, and T loops). Further hydrogen bonds mediate the characteristic L-shaped molecular structure. tRNAs have two regions of fundamental functional importance: the anti-codon, which is responsible for specific mRNA codon recognition, and the 3' end, to which the tRNAs corresponding amino acid is attached (by aminoacyl-tRNA synthetases). tRNAs cope with the degeneracy of the genetic code in two manners: having more than one tRNA (with a specific anti-codon) for a particular amino acid; and 'wobble' base-pairing, i.e. permitting non-standard base-pairing at the 3rd anti-codon position. Lineage: Bacteria; Pseudomonadati; Bacteroidota; Cytophagia; Cytophagales. RNAcentral also lists the same sequence under 1 other name. The record is from RNAcentral.